RNAcentral lists this small nucleolar RNA (136 nucleotides) under Equus asinus (donkey). RNAcentral's name for it is "U8 small nucleolar RNA (ENSEASG00005019502.2, ENSEASG00020040216.1)". It matches the Rfam family "U8 small nucleolar RNA". Rfam says of the family: U8 is a member of the C/D class of snoRNA which contain the C (UGAUGA) and D (CUGA) box motifs. U8 is the RNA component of a small complex (the U8 snoRNP) which is required for accumulation of mature large subunit ribosomal RNAs, 5.8S and 28S rRNAs. The record is from Rfam by way of RNAcentral. Lineage: Eukaryota; Metazoa; Chordata; Mammalia; Perissodactyla; Equidae.
UCGUCAGGUAGGAUAAUCCUUACCUGUUUCCCCUUUAGGGGAGCAGAUUGGAAAAUGAUGAUUGGAGUGCGCAUGAUUCGUGAUUAGCGUCUCUGCGUAAUCAGGACUUGCAACACCCUGAUUGCUCCUGUCUGAU